This 412-nucleotide long non-coding RNA is filed under the name Fukomys damarensis (Damara mole-rat). Its description in RNAcentral is "lncRNA (ENSFDAG00000027152.1)". The record is from RNAcentral. Lineage: Eukaryota; Metazoa; Chordata; Mammalia; Rodentia; Bathyergidae.
CAGUGCCUUCCUGAAGGUCCCCACUAGGAUUGAGAAACAGAAAGGCAGUGCCCCUGGGGCUGUUGGCUACAUGCCCUGUGCCAGGUUGUGGUCAGCUUCACUUGCCCUUCUCUUUUGAGGAGACCCUGCCACAGCAGAGUCUGACAUGAGGAAACUUCAGGCAUGGAAAUCAGGAAUAGAAGUGCUUCUGCUUUCUGGUGUUACUGCUUGGGGCGGCAUCGUCCUGAUCCCACGCCUCUCGUUUGCAUUCUGCUCACCAGCAGUUAUUGUGCUAACAAGGCAGAGGCUGUGGCCAGCACCCAAGGGCUCCUGGGUGGGUCCUUUUCUAAGGGUAAGCAGUUUUAACCCUUGAGCUGGAAGCUUUUGGAUUUCAUGCAUCGGUAACAUUUAAAUUAAAAAAAAAUCAGAGAAC